GGAAAGGUGGCUCAGUGGUAGAGUGCUUGCCUUGCAUGCCUGAGGCCCUGGGUUCGAUUCCUCAGCACUACCU
Molecule: non-coding RNA, 73 nt
Organism: Dipodomys ordii (Ord's kangaroo rat)
Lineage: Eukaryota; Metazoa; Chordata; Mammalia; Rodentia; Heteromyidae
Source: Rfam